AAAGCGCACGUAGGCUGACUGGAAAGUCAGAGGUGAAAUCCCAGGGCUCAACCUUGGAACUGCCUUUGAAACUCCCAGUCUUGAGGUCGAGAGAGGUGAGUGGAAUUCCGAGUGUAGAGGUGAAAUUCGUAGAUAUUCGGAGGAACACCAGUGGCGAAGGCGGCUCACUGGCUCGAUACUGACGCUGAGGUGCGAAAGCGUGGGGAGCAAACAGGAUUAGAUACCCUAGU
This 230-nucleotide ribosomal RNA is filed under the name uncultured bacterium. RNAcentral's name for it is "partial 16S ribosomal RNA". It matches the Rfam family "Bacterial small subunit ribosomal RNA", at positions 562 to 791 of the family's 1533-position model. The record is from RNAcentral.